RNAcentral lists this long non-coding RNA (1104 nucleotides) under Triticum aestivum (bread wheat). Its description in RNAcentral is "long non-coding RNA (TAES_LNC025483)". The record is from RNAcentral. Lineage: Eukaryota; Viridiplantae; Streptophyta; Magnoliopsida; Poales; Poaceae.
UUGCUCGGAUUGCUUCGAGCAUCGACAGGCACAGAUGGUUGGGGCCUGAAAAUGGCACACUAGAUUGAGUAUCUUGCAAUGCAAGCAAAGCACUGGGGUAUAAGUAAAGAAAUGGCGAGCACCUUUUUGCAUCGGAGGUCUGUCAGGCAAUGGUAAGUUAUCUUUCUCCAUGGAACUGCCAAGUUGUGGUGAAUUGUCCUUUUCAGCAACAGACUCAUUAACUGAUCCUACUGUUUCAAUGGCCUGUGAGAAGAAACACACAUAAAUAAGCAUAGAAGGAAGGAGAAGUUUGAAAAUACAGAUGAUCUGGAAGUUACCAAGCUCUCUUUGUCUGUGUCAACAAACUGCUUUGUCUUUAAAAAGAAUGCACUGAGAUUUUGCACUAACAUACUUGAACAGCUUCAGAGAUUCCAGUAAUCACUCUAAUGACAUCUACGCAAGCAAAGAAGAGUUAUUAUAAAAUCACCACCAAACAAACGAGAGAAAAGAUGAUUAGUCACAAAAUCACUUGUAAAGCGUUCAGGCAUAUCUGUAGGCCUAGGGAGCUGAGCUAUUGGAGUCAAUGCAUACGUACAGAAGGGGAACUCUGCUUCCAUUCCAGUUCUCUCCACAAGUUCAGUGCGCUUUAUAAACUUAAUCAUUAAAUGACCUUCCACUGGUCUAAAAACAUACUUCCACGGGAAUACCAGGAACUUCUGAAACUCGACGGUGUACAAAACUGCAAAGCAAAGCAAAACAACAGAAAAUGAGAUAGAAAAACAAGAAGCCUUAAACAUCAGUCAGAAAUUUCAAGCUGUAGUUGCAUGGAAAUGGUAAAUAAAAUGGUACCGGCGUUUAUAGGACCAUAGGCAUGGCCUGACUGGAUUUCAUCUAGAUAUUCGUUAAGCUUCAUCUUAGUAAUCUCAAGCCACAUUGGACUACAUGUAAAAAUAGUAAAAGUAUCAGGGGCCUCAUCCACUCAACAAAUUGUAAGACCAUCCUGAAAGUUCUCCUGGUAGUAACGCCGACCAGUGGUAUGGCUGGACGGCACAAUCGUUUUCAUCGGCAAAAGAGAACCAAUAAGAUGAUGGACCUGACCACAAAUUUUGAAGAUAUUAACCCCCG